Molecule: long non-coding RNA, 2469 nt
Organism: Cavia porcellus (domestic guinea pig)
Lineage: Eukaryota; Metazoa; Chordata; Mammalia; Rodentia; Caviidae
Exons: 3
Source: RefSeq, a predicted model, not a curated record
AGCUGAGGCAGGAUCAUGUGAACUCCAAUCUGGUGUCAGGCUGGGUGGUUGCCGAGGAACCACACGCCAGCAGGAGGAUGAGGGCAGUGGAACUGCUCCCUGCUUGCAUCCUCCAUCCUCCAGGCUCUCUGCAACCCAGCUUCUACCGGCUUGCAGCAUCCGUGGCGGGGACACCAUCCAUCUUCACAGUGCCACACACUGAGCCUGUCACAGUGCAUCACGCCUGCUCUCACACCAGCAUGGCUCCUUCUCUGACGCCCCCGACCAAGCCAAGGUCCAGAGCAAUGAAAGCAAAGCCACUUGGACCCAUCAGCUAGGUGUGCCCAGGGCAGCAGGGAUGGGCUUCCCGGCAGGGCUCGGAGCUGUGCCCCAAGCCCAGAGGCGGGCAGCAGCAAGCUGAAGCUCCUCUUCCCCAAAUGGCCCUCAUCCAUCAUUUCUGUAUUCCACUUCCCAGUCUUCAGGGCCAAAUCCUGCCCUUACCCCCAAAUUCUUCAAGGCAGAAUUUCCCAGGAGAACCUCCAGACACCACCGUGUGUCUCUUCGAUGCCUGUGACAUGCAGGUGCCCAGGCCCUGCCUGGGACUCACUGCCUCAGAAUCUCUUAGGGAUGAAGUCAAGAGGCUGUGUUUUUAGCCUUUCCCCUGGGGGUUCAGAGAGCACCACAUGCUUCCUUGGCUGGCUUGUGGCUUCUGAAAGGUGACAUCUAGAUGCUGUACUGCUUUGUGGCGAUGAGAGCUGGGCCAGGGCUCCUCACCCAGAAAGAGAAUGCUUGGGAAGCUUCAGAUGACAAGUGGGGACACAGGGUGGGUCUUUUUGGUGCCUCAAGUUAGCACCAUGUGUGAGGCACCGCGCCUUCCGCAGUGCCUUGAAACGCUCAGUGCAGCCCUGCCAGGCACACAUGAUCAUCCCAGCUUAACACUCGACGGAGACUCAAGGCCAUGCAGCUGGCAAGUGGCAGUGCUGGACCUGAGUGCAGUGUGUGUUCACUGCAUUUUAACAACAAUCAUAUAACUGAUGGGAGGUCCAGGAAUGGAUGAUGUGUGAGUGCCCAUCCCCCUCCCCGCUCCAGAGAGUGAGCUGCACGUGGAAGGAGGAGCUGGGUCCUCUUGUCCUUUGCCAAGGACAGUGCACACCCACUACAUCCAGCGCCUGAGAAUGAGAGGCUCUACAGCCCAUUUCUUUCUGCAGCCUGCCUGGAAAGCUGAAACCGGUGACUCCACUAGACGCUAAGGAACUGGGGGAGACAGACAGGAUACAAUGAAGCAACAGGAAGAGGAGUAGCAGCUAGAAAGCGACUGCUGUGACCGGGACCCAGCAGGCUUGGGAACAUCAGGAGGACAAGGAAAGACCUGUGCUUGGGGAGCCAGAAUCCUCACUGUCACCCUGAUCUUUCUCAUGCUCUGAGAAAAGGAAGAGACAGGUAGAGGGGAGAGGUGCGGCCAGGAGCCAGAGGCAGAAGGCCCAGCAGGAACGGUGAGACUGCACAGGAAGGAAGCGCACCAGGACAGUCCAGGUGACAGACCUGUCUCAUUAGACUGCUGCCUCAGACUCUGCUUCCCCUGCCCAAGGAGCAGGUGUCCUUUGCCUCCACCCUGGAAGACCAGGUCUCUGACUGCUCAGCCACUGCCAGCAUGGCAGAGGACAGUCUAAGCAGAGCAGCCUCCCAAGGCUGAUGGGGUCGGGGAGGUCGCGUAGGUGGGGUCAGAGGCUGCCCACUGAUGGAGUCAGGUCCUGGCCUGCUGUGACCUGUUGGGGUGUCACGGUGGAGCUGUCUGAAGCUGCCUGGGCUAUUUGUUUGGAGCCUUCACAUCUUCUCGUUCUUCAAGAAAGAAGUAACACUUGGAAAGUCUCAUUGCCCUUCUGUGCUAUGCAACACCAGAACUGCUUAGCUCGACUGCCCUCCCUCCUCCCCCACUCCACUCCCUGCCCUGGUCAUCAUCUGGUCUACUUGCUUCUCCUAUGACACCAACUGUUUUGGUUUCUACAGCCAAGUGAGACUACGUGGCAUGUGGAUCAGCACACUCUCAAGUCUCUGACACCUUCAGGCGUCCACCACCUCUGGCCACCAAGGGAGCCCCAGCAUCACUAACCCUCAGGGAGCAGGGACAUAAGGGGGGCCCUGCUGUCACUUCUCCGGGUUGACAGGUGUAGUCUGCCUCAGGAGUCUCCUUGGGGAGGGCAGUAUCAGGUGCACGGGGUGGUAAGGCUAGUGGGGACCAAUGUCCUAGGGAGUGAAGGGGGACGAGGACCAUAUUGUAUGCUUCUAUGAGGUUUUACAGGCAGUGCCAACCUGCUUUCCCACAGGAGGCACCAUGCACACUGCAGGCGUUCAGUGAACACUCAGAGCUAUGUCACCAUGCCGUUUGCACAGGCUGUAGUUGACUAUAUGACCAGAUGAAGUCUAGGUGUGUUUAUUUAAAGAGUGUGAGCUGGAAAGAUGGAAGAAUUAAAAUGCAACACUGUCAUUCAA